ACUUAUAAAAAAACUUAAUGUAUGAUCUAGCUAUGAUCGAAACUAUAGCUAGCUACUAGGACGAAUUGUUUGGGAGAAUCCGAACUCGACUUUUAAUAGGAAUAAUUCUUAAUUAAACUUUAUUUACCUUGCCGCCAAACUCUAAAUUACCGGUGUCCCACUCUUAAAAACUGGAUGAUUAAGACAAAAAAAAGGAGAAAAUAAACGAUAACUAGGUUAAUUAUUUUAAACUUAUACAAAAUAUAACACUCAAAAGAUAAUUAACACCCAUGAACAAAAUUAUAGCUAGAUUUAUCUUUUUAAAUCAUAUUACAUGACUAAAAUGGGAUUAGACCUAUUCAAUAAAAACUCAUCCACCGACCUCACACAUGCAUUUAUCAUUUACGCAGAAACCAGCAGACAUAAUUUUAUGCAUCAAAAGGCACGCAAUGUGACAAACAACGGUGUCUUCUCCAUUAUUGUGUCUGCAUGGACCUUCAAAACCAAAACAUUUUACUAGUAUCUCAGAUGCCUCAAUCUGCAUCACUGCUUCUUCUGCAAUUUUCAAAUCAAACAAAAUAUUAUUAUUUUUUAUUUAUUUUGAAAUUAAGUGGUGUAUUUACACUUCUUAAUAAAAUUAUUAUCUAUAUUUUAUCGCUACACAAAUUAUUGAAUAGGAAAUUAUUUUUAAAAUAUGUUAAUUUAUGAUUCAUUACGAUAUAAAUUUUAAAUCUUUAAAUUUACAUUUUAUAAAAA
RNAcentral lists this long non-coding RNA (735 nucleotides) under Trifolium pratense (red clover). RNAcentral describes it as "long non-coding RNA (TPRA_LNC004537)". The record is from RNAcentral. Lineage: Eukaryota; Viridiplantae; Streptophyta; Magnoliopsida; Fabales; Fabaceae.